UGGGGAAUUUUGCACAAUGGGGGAAACCCUGAUGCAGCGACGCCGCGUGAUUUAGAAGGCCUUCGGGUUGUAAAAAUCUUUUCUAUGGGAAGAAAAUGACAGUACCAUAGGAAUAAGGACCGGCUAAUUACGUGCCAGCAGCCGCGGUAAUACGUAAGGUCCGAGCGUUGUCCGGAAUCAUUGGGCGUAAAGGGUACGUAGGCGGGUAAGCAAGUUAGAAGUGAAAUCCUAUAGCUCAACUAUAGUAAGCUUUUAAAACUGCUCAUCUUGAGGUAUGGAAGGGAAAGUGGAAUUCCUAGUGUAGCGGUGAAAUGCGCAGAUAUUAGGAGGAAUACCGAUGGCGAAGGCGACUUUCUGGCCAUAACCUGACGCUGAGGUACGAAAGCGUGGGUAGCAAACAGG
This 402-nucleotide ribosomal RNA is filed under the name bacterium. RNAcentral describes it as "partial 16S ribosomal RNA". It matches the Rfam family "Bacterial small subunit ribosomal RNA", at positions 355 to 776 of the family's 1533-position model. The record is from RNAcentral.